This 4095-nucleotide long non-coding RNA is filed under the name Homo sapiens (human). RNAcentral's name for it is "non-protein coding lnc-LRRC56-1:10". Lineage: Eukaryota; Metazoa; Chordata; Mammalia; Primates; Hominidae. The record is from RNAcentral.
GAGGGCGCGCGAGGCGCCGCACGGGGGAGGCUUCUCCGAAAGCCGCGAGGGCAGCUCCCGUGUGUCCGCUGUGCAAACCGGUCCUUCCGCCAAAAACCUGCUGUCUGGCUUUUCUCAGGCCUCCCUGGAUGGAUGUUGGGAGAGUUUACGCGUGGCCUUGUGGGAUCGCUGUGGCGGACUCUCAGCUAUCAGAGGGCUCCAUCACUCCAUCGUAAGGAGGCAGCUGGUGGCGAGUCCUGAGCAGGGAUGUGAUCCGACGGGCAGGCGGCGCCCGGGACAGAAGCUGACGUCACACAGGUGAGUCCCCCACCUCCCCACAGGCUUCCUCCACCCCCUCGGCAGCCCAGCAGGGCCUGUCAAUCAGUGGGACCUGGUCAGCUGGCUGCUAGGGGACCUCAGGCAGGGGGGCUUGUCCGCAGGGCCUCCAGCAAGGGGGGACAUUCAUGACACCCAGCAGGGCUCAAGAAGGUGAGACAGAGGGACACUGAACCCAGCCCUUUACAGAAGACCUGAGUCCACCGAGGAAGGGGGCCAACCCCCUCCCCGCGUCUGCAUCCCCAGGACCACCCCGGGUGGAGAGGGCCGAGUGUGGUGCCUCCGCGGGUGCUCUGACGAUCGUCUCGAGCCACGGGGGUGACAGUGACAAGGACCUGUGUGCACGUUAGUGGGGCAGCCAGGCCUAGCUGGAGAAGAAACACACACACGCACACGUUCACCCACAUACACGUGCACACACAUGCUGCCAGUUCAGGGGGUGGAGGACGCUGACUCCAGGCCCAGCUGACCUGCGCGGGGCCCUAUUGUGAUGUGUGCAGCCACCCCAUGACGUCACCGGUGCCAAGUGCCGGCUGUGUGCGGAGCAGUUGGAGACACAGUGGGUGUCCGAGGGGGGGCUCUGCGUCCGGAGGUGAGAGGCGAGACGUCCGAGGUCAGAGGGGAGGAGACGGACCCGACCUUCCUUGGCUGUGCUCUCCAGCCCUGUCCUGUGCUGGACCCAACCUAACCUCUGCAGCCUCCCUGCCCUGGACACAAAUCUGGCUGAGACCCCAGACCCUGAUGGGGCAGAGCCUGGCACUGGAGGAGCCACCAGGAUGGGCCCCUGUGGGUGUGGGCAGAGGGUGAUCCUCAGUUCAGGUUUUUGCCAGAAGAUGGGUUCCUGCAGGAGGGGGUCUCAGCAGCUCAGACUUCAGAUGCGCUCACUGCUGCUCACUGUGGGACAGCCAGACACGGAGCCCUCUGUUCUCCAGCAGUUGUGGACAAUGAGGGAUCCCUGGAGGGAUGCCUGGUGGGCAGCAGGAGUCCCUCUUGUGGGUCAGGGUGCGGGGAUGGGCUCUCCCUGCAGGGACUUCCCAGUCUUGUCCUCUGGGAUUGGCAGUUUGCAGGGGUAUCCUCGGCAUCAGACCAGGGGGGCCACACAGGGACCCAGAUCUAUGGGGCCCAGCCCCGGGAAGACCAGAUGGGCUCAGUGGAGAAGCUGACCACAUCUGCUUUCCUUUCAGCCAAACCGGGGAGCGUCCCGGCACCCAGGCCUCUGCGGGUAACCCCAGGCAUCAAGACCCUCCCUCAAGGGGAGGAGCUGGCUCUCCCCUGCCCAUCAGCACAGCUCCAGAAUCCCAAGGGGUCAGCUCCCACAUGGGGGCCUGGUCCUGCCACACACUGGCCUAGCUGGGCUGUCCCCGAGGCCAAGGCCUAGCGGCAUGAGGGGGCUUCCGUGGAGCCCAGGGCAGUGGGCUGCUCUCUGGAGUCCCUAGGACUCGGGGUGUGGCUGGCCUGUCCCCAGAUCAGGACACACCCCAGGUUGUCCAGUGGUUCCCGUGCUGGAACUCCUGUUGAAGCCACCCAGGGACCUGGAUGCUUCCCACAGUUCAGCAUGGAGCAGGGGUGCUGGGCCCUGACCCCUCCACGUCUGUCCUGGACACCCCAGGACCACAGCACAGGCCCAGCCCUGCAACCCCAGCGGGGCCCUGAUACCAGGCCCUGCCCAGCCCCGUAAUGACCAAGAGGCAGGUCCAGAGAUACCUCCUGCACAGGGUCACCUGCAUCUGACGCCCCCAGCAGGCAGUGACCAGCACGGUGUGGAAGGAGCCAGGGUGGCACCCGGCAGCCCUAGAGGGCUCCUGGCCUCGGGAAGUCUAUCGAUGGGGAAGCUGGUCACUCGGAGGCUGCUGGGGAGAAGGGGGAGUGUGGCAUUCCCUGGACAGAAGGGCAAGUGUGGCGUCCCCUGGAGAGAAGGGCGAGUGUGGCGUCCCCUGGAGAGAAGGGCGAGUGUGGCGUCCCCUGGAGAGAAGGGCGAGUGUGGCGUCCCCUGGACAGAAGGGGGAGUGUGGCGUCCCCUGGAGAGAAGGGGGAGUGUGGCGUCCCCUGGAGAGAAGGGGGAGUGUGGCGUCCCCUGGAGAGAAGGGCGAGUGUGGCGUCCCCUGGACAGAAGGGGGAGUGUGGCGUCCCCUGGAGAGAAGGGGGAGUGUGGCGUCCCCUGGAGAGAAGGGGGAGUGUGGCGUCCCCUGGAGAGAAGGGGGAGUGUGGCGUCCCCUGGAGAGAAGGGCGAGUGUGGCGUCCCCUGGAGAGAAGGGCGAGUGUGGCGUCCCCUGGACAGAAGGGGGAGUGUGGCGUCCCCUGGAGAGAAGGGCCAGUGUGGCGUCCCCUGGAGAGAAGGGGGAGUGUGGCGUCCCCUGGAGAGAAGGGGGAGUGUGGCGUCCCCUGGACAGAAGGGGGAGUGUGGCGUCCCCUGGAGAGAAGGGCCAGUGUGGCGUCCCCUGGAGAGAAGGGCGAGUGUGGCGUCCCCUGGACAGAAGGGGGAGUGUGGCGUCCCCUGGAGAGAAGGGCGAGUGUGGCGUCCCCUGGAGAGAAGGGCGAGUGUGGCGUCCCCUGGAGAGAAGGGGGAGUGUGGCGUCCCCUGGACAGAAGGGGGAGUGUGGCGUCCCCUGGAGAGAAGGGCGAGUGUGGUGUUCGCUGGAGAGAAGGGCGAGUGUGGUAUUCCCUGGACAAAAGGGGGAGUGUCCCUGCAGCCCUGGCCAGCCAGCGGCAUGCCCUGCUAGCUCUCCCCCAACCUCAGGGAUAGGGAACCCUGACAGGGCACAAGUCCCCGUCCCAGAGGGGCCUGGCCCAGCCUCAACCCGGGCCCUGGGAGGGGAGGGGCACCAGGGGCGCUGUGGGCCCCCAGCAGAAGCCAGGAUGACCACACAGGGGACUGAGCUGUCUGUGGCUGUGGCCAGACCUAGAACUUGGCCCAAGGCAGGGCAAGCCCCUUGGAGCAGAGUGGGUGGCAGAGCCUGUGUAUACCCAGCAAGGCUGAGCCAGUGACACUACCAGGCUCCAAGAGCAACCAGCCAUGAGGCAGGCGUGGGGCAAGGGUAGGGUGAGGGCAGGGGCGGGGGAGAGUGGGGCAGGAGCAGACGGACCAGCUGCCAACCUCGUCCACUCCAGGAGGCAGGGAUGGCCAGGCUCCCACGCCCUACUGGCCGCUACCCGACCACCAAUGAGGCAGAGGCCUGAGGCCAGUCGGUGCUGGAGCCCUACUUCCAAGGUCCACAGACCGCUUCAGGCCACAGAGCCGAAGAAAACUGGGCAUGUGAAGGCCCAGGAGGCGGGGUCCCUAUGUCUGCCAUUCUUGGCAGGUGCAUUUCACGCUGGGAGCAAGUCAGGAAAGGUGAUGCCUCUCACCGCCAAGAAGGCUCCCAGCAGAGACCAGAGCCACCGGCACAGAUCCCCAACCCCUGAAACCACCUCCCUCUGGAGGACCAGGACGCCCUCCUAGUUGGUAGAAGCACAGUAAGCUCUCUGUCCUUAUGAUCUGCCUGCUUGUCCAGAGCUCUCUGCCAGAAGCCGUGGACACUGGGGCAGGCGGGAGGAGAGAGCACCACAGCCCAGACCCCUGACCGGCCUCUCCCAACCUCCCCCUCCCAAAGGCUAUGGAGAGCCCAGGGCUGGACAGGCCUGAGGUUCCGACAUACCUCAUGCCAGGCCACACGCGCACCGUGUCCCACCCUCAGCCGAAAACCAAGAUCAAGACCAUCCAAUAAUUUACUGUGAUCCCAUCUGUGCCCGACAAGGGCCCACAGAGGCCUGGGAGGGGAGCUAAGGGCUGGGGUUCCGGUG